GAACACGGACCAAGGAGUCUAACAUAUGUGCAAGUAAUUGGGUAAAUUAAAUUAAAAUGAAAACCCAAAGGCGAAAUUAACUUGACUAAUAUAUAUAUUAUAUUGAUAUAGAUACUAAUCUAUUUAAUAUGGAUAUAUAUAUAAUGGGAUUAAUUUUUAGAUUUGAUAGAAAGUCUAUUUAGAUUUAAUAUCAGUCUAUUAAUUCAAUCCCAGGGCGUUCUAUUAUAAGUUUAAUGUAUAAUAUAAUUUUGUAAUGAAAUUAUAUAUACCUCUAAACUAGAACGUACCUUGAGCAUAUAUUAUGUGACCCGAAAGAUGGUGAACUAUACUUGAUCAGGUUGAAGUCAGGGGAAACCCUGAUGGAAGACCGAAACAGUUCUGACGUGCAAAUCGAUUGUCAGAAUUAAGUAUAGGGGUGAAAGGCCAAUCGAACUAUCUAGUAGCUGGUUCCAUCCGAAGUUUCCCUCAGGAUAGCUGGAACAUACAAAAUUUAUAUAAAUAAUCUUAUCUGGUAAAGCGAAUGAUUAGAGGCAUUAGGGUCGAAACGACCUUAACCUAUUCUCAAACUUUAAAUGGGUAAAAACUUCACCUUUCUUGAUGUGAAGGUUGAAGAUGAUGAUGAUAUAAAUGUGCCUAGUGGGCCAUUUUUGGUAAGCAGAACUGGCGCUGUGGGCUGAACCAAACGUAAUGUUAUGGUGCCCAAAUUUACAACUCAUGCAGAUACCAUGAAAGGCGUUGGUUGCUUAAAACAGCAGGACGGUGUGCAUGGAAGUCGUAAUCCGCUAAGGAGUGUGUAACAACUCACCUGCCGAAGCAACUAGCCCUUAAAAUGGAUGGCGCUUAAGUUGUAUACCUACACAUUACCGCUAAAGUAGAUGAUUUUUUUCGAAUUUAUUUACAUAUUUUUUAUGUAUUAAAUGAGAAAAGAAUUUUGAAACUUUAGUGAGUAGGAUGGUACUAUAGUGUGCUUAGAAGUGUUUGGCGUAAGCCUGCAUGGAGCCGCUAUUGGUACAGAUCUUGGUGGUAGUAGCAAAUAAUCGAAUGAGACCUUGGAGGACUGAAGUGGAGAAGGGUUUCGUAUGAACAGUGGUUGAUUACGAGUUAGUCGGUCCUAAGUUUAAGGCAAAAGCCGAAAAUUUUCAAGUUCUUUAAUAAAAUAUAUAUAUUAUAUAUGUAUAUAAAAGACUUGAUAAUUUGAACGAAAGGGAAUACGGUUCCAAUUCCGUAACCUGUUAAGUAUCCGUUUGUUAUUAAAAAUGGGCCCCGUGCUCAUCCUGGUAACAGGAACGACCAUAAAGAAGCCGUCGAGAGAUAACGGAAGAGUUUUCUUUUCUGUUUUAUAGUCGUACUACCAUGGAAGUCUUUCGAAGAGAGAUAUGGUAGAUGGACUAGAAGAGCAUGACAUUUACUGUUGUGUCGUUAUUUUCUCCUCGGACCUUGAAAAUUUAUGGUGGGGUCACGCAAACUUCUUAACAGACCGUACCGAUAUCCGCAGCUGGUCUCCAAGGUGAAGAGUCUCUAGUCGAUAGAAUAAUGUAGGUAAGGGAAGUCGGCAAAUUAGAUCCGUAACUUCGGAAUAAGGAUUGGCUCUGAAGAUUGAGAUAAUCGGGCUUGAUUGGGAAGCAAUAAUAUGGUUUUAUAUGCUCGUUCUGGGUAAAUAGAGAUUUUUUGCGAAUCUUGUUCCCCGGAUAGUAGUUAUGUAGCCAAUUGUGGAACUUUCUUGCUAAAAUUUUUAAUCAUUUAUCAUAUGAUAUUAUGAUUUAAAAAUUAUAACGAUUAUCAAUUAACAAUCAAUUCAGAACUGGCACGGACCUGUUGAAUCCGACUGUCUAAUUAAAACAAAGCAUUGUGAUGGCCCUAACGGGUGUUGACACAAUGUGAUUUCUGCCCAGUGCUCUGAAUGUCAAAGUGAAGAAAUUCAAGUAAGCGCGGGUCAACGGCGGGAGUAACUAUGACUCUCUUAAGGUAGCCAAAUGCCUCGUCAUCUAAUUAGUGACGCGCAUGAAUGGAUUAACGAGAUUCAAACCGUCCCUAUUUACUAUCUAGCGAAACCACAGCCAAGGGAACGGGCUUGGAAUAAUUAGCGGGGAAAGAAGACCCUUUUGAGCUUGACUCUAGUCUGGCUCUGUAAGGAGACAUAAGAGGUGUAGAAUAAGUGGGAGAUAAAUGAUUAACAAUAAAAUGUUGUUAUUUAUCAUCAAUGAAAUACCACUACUCUUAUUGUUUCCUUACUUACUUGAUGAAAUGGAACGUGUAACAGAUUCUAGCCAUUAUACGGAUAUAUUUAUUAUAAUUAUAUCUUAUGGUAUUGGAAUUUGUUGCAAGAUUAUUGAACAAAGUAUCACGAGUUAGUUAUAUAAUUGUAAACGGAUACAAAUUGAAGUGUUUUAACAUAUAUAAAUUUUAUAUGUUAUGCAUGAAGAUGGAAAUCUGGUAUAACACCAACCACUCAGAUAUGAUCCAAUUCAAGGACAAAUUCAGGUAGGGUGUUCGGCUGGGGCGGUACAUCUUUCAAAUAAUAACGAAGGUGUCCCAAGGCCAGCUCAGUGCGGACAGAAAUCACACAUAGAGCAAAAGGGCAAAUGCUGACUUGAUCUCGAUGUUCAGUACACACAGAGACAGCAAAAGCUCGGCCUAUCGAUCCUUUUGGUUAAAGAGUUUUUAACAAGAGGUGUCAGAAAAGUUACCAUAGGGAUAACUGGCUUGUGGCGGCCAAGCGUUCAUAGCGACGUUGCUUUUUGAUCCUUCGAUGUCGGCUCUUCCUAUCAUUGUGAAGCAGAAUUCACCAAGCGUUGGAUUGUUCACCCAUGCAAGGGAACGUGAGCUGGGUUUAGACCGUCGUGAGACAGGUUAGUUUUACCCUACUAAUGACGAAAAAUUAUUACAACAGCAUUCCUGCGUAGUACGAGAGGAACCGCAGGUACGGACCAAUGGUACAAUACUUGUUCGAGCGAACAGUGGUAUGAUGCUACGUCCGUUGGAUUAUGCCUGAACGCCUCUAAGGUCGUAUCCGUGCUGGAUUGUAAUAAUAAAAAUGGGGCGAUUGCAUUGUAUAGCAUUUAUAUAAUUUCAAGUUUAUAUUUGUGUAAAAGCAAUGAUAUAAACGACGAAUUUAAUAUGAUGCUAAUGUUAUUGGUAAUAAAGCAAUUUCAUGGUGGAUAUAUGAUCACUUGAAUAUUACGCUAAUUACUAAUAAUAACAUUAUUACAUACAAUGGCAAUGCCUAGAAUCAAUUGUAAACGAC
Molecule: ribosomal RNA, 3244 nt
Filed under: Stylogaster inca
Lineage: Eukaryota; Metazoa; Arthropoda; Insecta; Diptera; Conopidae
Description: eukaryotic LSU rRNA
Rfam family: Eukaryotic large subunit ribosomal RNA
Source: RNAcentral